This 391-nucleotide unclassified non-coding RNA is filed under the name soil metagenome. Its description in RNAcentral is "partial contains 5.8S ribosomal RNA, internal transcribed spacer 2, and large subunit ribosomal RNA". The stretch from base 1 to 122 matches the Rfam family "5.8S ribosomal RNA", at positions 35 to 154 of the family's 154-position model. The record is from RNAcentral.
GAUGAAGAACGUAGCGAAAUGCGAUACUUGGUGUGAAUUGCAGAAUCCCGUGAACCAUCGAGUCUUUGAACGCAAGUUGCGCCCGAAGCCAUUAGGCCGAGGGCACGCCUGCCUGGGCGUCACACGUCGUUGCCCCCCCAUCUACUCCUUCGGGAUUGCGGGGGGCGGAUGAUGGCCUCCCGUGCGCCUCGUCGCGCGGUUGGCAUAAAUGCCAAGUCCUCGGCGACGCACGCCACGACAAUCGGUGGUUGCGAAACCUCGGUUGCCCGUCGUGUGCGGUCGUCGCGCAUCGAGGGCUCGAAAAAAUGGCCGGGCUCCGGCUCGGCUUUCAACGCGACCCCAGGUCAGGCGGGGUUACCCGCUGAAUUUAAGCAUAUCAAUAAGCGGAGGA